GAAACCAACAGGGAUUGCCUUAGUAACGGCGAGUGAAGCGGCAACAGCUCAAAUUUGAAAUCUGGCCCCAGGCCCGAGUUGUAAUUUGCAGAGGAUGCUUUUGGCGCGGUGCCUUCCGAGUUCCCUGGAACGGGACGCCAUAGAGGGUGAGAGCCCCGUCUGGUUGGAUACCAAGCCUUUGUAAAGCUCCUUCGACGAGUCGAGUAGUUUGGGAAUGCUGCUCUAAAUGGGAGGUAUAUGUCUUCUAAAGCUAAAUACCGGCCAGAGACCGAUAGCGCACAAGUAGAGUGAUCGAAAGAUGAAAAGCACUUUGGAAAGAGAGUUAAACAGCACGUGAAAUUGUUAAAAGGGAAGCGUUUAUGACCAGACUUGGGCCGGUUAAUCAUCCAGCGUUCUCGCUGGUGCACUUUGCCGGUCCAGGCCAGCAUCAGUUCGCUGCGGGGGAUAAAGGCGUCGGGAAUGUGGCUCCUCCGGAGUGUUAUAGCCCUUCGCGCAAUACCCUGCGGUGGACUGAGGUUCGCGCAUCUGCAAGGAUGCUGGCGUAAUGGUCAUCAACGACCCGUCUUGAAACACGGACCAAGGAGUCGUCUUCGUAUGCGAGUGUUCGGGUGUAAAACCCCUACGCGUAAUGAAAGUGAACGCAGGUGAGAGCUUCGGCGCAUCAUCGACCGAUCCUGAUGUUCUCGGAUGGAUUUGAGUAAGAGCAUACGGGGCCGGACCCGAAAGAAGGUGAACUAUGCCUGUAUAGGGUGAAGCCAGAGGAAACUCUGGUGGAGGCUCGCAGCGGUUCUGACGUGCAAAUCGAUCGUCAAA
Molecule: ribosomal RNA, 813 nt
Filed under: Stachybotrys chlorohalonatus
Lineage: Eukaryota; Fungi; Ascomycota; Sordariomycetes; Hypocreales; Stachybotryaceae
Description: Stachybotrys chlorohalonata partial large subunit ribosomal RNA
Rfam family: Eukaryotic large subunit ribosomal RNA
Source: RNAcentral